This 77-nucleotide transfer RNA is filed under the name Flavobacteriales bacterium CG_4_10_14_0_2_um_filter_35_18. Its description in RNAcentral is "tRNA-Thr". It matches the Rfam family "tRNA". Rfam says of the family: Transfer RNA (tRNA) molecules are approximately 80 nucleotides in length. Their secondary structure includes four short double-helical elements and three loops (D, anti-codon, and T loops). The record is from RNAcentral. RNAcentral also lists the same sequence under 3 other names. Lineage: Bacteria; Pseudomonadati; Bacteroidota; Flavobacteriia; Flavobacteriales.
GCCGAUGUAGCUCAGCUGGCUAGAGCAGCUGAUUUGUAAUCAGCAGGUCGUGGGUUCGAGUCCCUCGAUCGGCUCAA